This 468-nucleotide ribosomal RNA is filed under the name uncultured bacterium. RNAcentral describes it as "partial 16S ribosomal RNA". It matches the Rfam family "Bacterial small subunit ribosomal RNA", at positions 28 to 507 of the family's 1533-position model. The record is from RNAcentral.
GACGAACGCUGGCGGCGUGCUUAACACAUGCCAGUCGAACGGAAAGGCCCUGCUUUUGUGGGGUGCUCGAGUGGCGAACGGGUGAGUAACACGUGAGUAACCUGCCCUUGACUUUGGGAUAACUUCAGGAAACUGGGGCUAAUACCGGAUAGGAGCUCCUGCUGCAUGGUGGGGGUUGGAAAGUUUCGGCGGUUGGGGAUGGAAUCGCGGCUUAUCAGCUUGUUGGGGGGGUAGUGGCUUACCAAGGCUUUGACGGGUAGCCGGCCUGAGAGGGUGACCGGCCACAUUGGGACUGAGAUACGGCCCAGACUCCUACGGGAGGCAGCAGUGGGGAAUAUUGCACAAUGGGCGGAAGCCUGAUGCAGCGACGCCGCGUGCGGGAUGACGGCCUUCGGGUUGUAAACCGCUUUCGCAUGUGACGAAGCGUGAGUGACGGUAAUGGGUAAAGAAGCACCGGCUAACUACGUG